GAUGAACGCUGGCGGCGUGCUUAACACAUGCAAGUCGAACGGAAAGGCUCCUACUUGUAGGGGUACUCGAGUGGCGAACGGGGGAGUAACACGUGGGUUAUCUGUCCCGCACUUCGGGAUAUGCCUGGGAAAGUGGGUCUAAUACCGGAUAGGACGAUGGUCUGUAUGCCAUUCUGGAAUGUUUUUCGCUGUGGGAUGGGCUCGCGGCCUAUCAGCUUGUUGGUGGGGUAAUGGCCUACCAUGGCGUCGACGGGUAGCCGGCCUGAGAGGGUGUACGGACAAACUGGGACUGAGAUACGACCCAGACCACAACGGGAGGCAACGGUGGGGAAGAUUACACAAUAGGAGCAAGCCUGAUGCGACGACGCCGCGUGGGGGAUGACGGCCUUCGGGUUGUGAACUACCUUCGCUAGGGACGAAGCGCAAGUGACGGUACCUGGAGAAGAAGCACCGGCUAACUACGUG
Molecule: ribosomal RNA, 465 nt
Filed under: uncultured bacterium
Lineage: Bacteria
Description: partial 16S ribosomal RNA
Rfam family: Bacterial small subunit ribosomal RNA
Source: RNAcentral